This 163-nucleotide ribosomal RNA is filed under the name uncultured bacterium. RNAcentral's name for it is "partial 16S rRNA". It matches the Rfam family "Bacterial small subunit ribosomal RNA", at positions 355 to 511 of the family's 1533-position model. The record is from RNAcentral.
UAGGGAAUCUUUCACAAUGGGCGAAAGCCUGAUGGAGCAACGCCGCGUGUGUGAUGAAGGGUUUCGGCUCGUAAACACUGUUGUAAGAGAAGAAUGACAUUGAGAGUAACUGUUCAAUGUGUGACGGUAUCUUACCAGAAAGGAACGGCUAAAUACGUGCCAG